UCGGGAAUUUUGGGCAAUGGGCGCAAGCCUGACCCAGCAACGCCGCGUGAAGGAUGAAAUCCCUCGGGAUGUAAACUUCGUAAGAACAGGAAGAAUAAGUGGGGGAUAAUACCCCCCAUGAUGACGGUACUGUUUGUAAGCUCCGGCUAACUCCGUGCCAGCAGCCGCGGUAAUACGGGGGGAGCAAGCGUUGUUCGGAUUUACUGGGCGUAAAGGGCGCGUAGGCGGUCACGACAAGUCAGUUGUGAAAUCUCUGGGCUUAACUCAGAACGGUCAACUGAUACUGUCGGACUAGAGUGCAGAAGGGGCAACUGGAAUUCUCGGUGUAGCGGUGAAAUGCGUAGAUAUCGAGAGGAACACCUGCGGCGAAGGCGGGUUGCUGGGCUGACACUGACGCUGAGGCGCGAAAGCUAGGGGAGCGAACGG
RNAcentral lists this ribosomal RNA (426 nucleotides) under uncultured bacterium. Its description in RNAcentral is "bacterial SSU rRNA". It matches the Rfam family "Bacterial small subunit ribosomal RNA", at positions 355 to 775 of the family's 1533-position model. The record is from RNAcentral.